Molecule: ribosomal RNA, 377 nt
Filed under: uncultured eukaryote
Lineage: Eukaryota
Description: partial 18S ribosomal RNA
Rfam family: Eukaryotic small subunit ribosomal RNA
Source: RNAcentral
CAAUAGCGUAUAUUAAAGUUGUUGCAGUUAAAAAGCUCGUAGUUGGAUUUCGGGGUGGCCUGGCUGGUCCGCCGCAAGGUGAGUACUGGUCAGCCGCCCUUCCUCUCGAAAGCCCCGACUGCUCUUUACUGCAGUGGUCGGGUAGUUCGGGACGUUUACUUUGAAAAAAUUAGAGUGUUCAAGGCAGGCUAUCGCCUGAAUACAUUAGCAUGGAAUAAUGGAAGAGGACCUCGGUCCUAUUUUGUUGGUUUCUAGGGCCGAAGUAAUGAUUAAGAGGGACAGUUGGGGGCAUUCGUAUUUAAUUGUCAGAGGUGAAAUUCUUGGAUUUAUGAAAGACGAACUAGUGCGAAAGUAUUUGCCAAGGAUGUUUUCAUUAA